CUAGACCUUGUAAUCCAUGGUGGUCAUUCCAGGCCCUCAUUAUUGAACCUAGGUAUUCCUGCUAAUACAUUUCAGUCUUUUCGAGGAGGAGCCCAGAAGGUAACUAUGGCCCUUGUGGUCUACUGGUAUGAUUUCAUUUGUUUUGGCAUUGUUGGCGCAUCCUUCUUCGGCUCGUUAUGGGUGCUAUACAGGAAGGAGCUACUUGCCUCAAAAUACGACACCAACACCAUCUAUGAGAGCCUCCUUGUGGCUCGACCAGACACUGAUGGUUUUGUAAAUGCUAUGCCAAGAAAUCAUGUUGGGUCGUCCCAACUAUGGAGCAGUUGCUGGAAAGGGUUUCAUCCAGGAUGGUUAUUAGCCACUCGUUUCGUCUCCUUUCUGGUAAUGGCUGGAUUUCUAAUGUGGGAUAUCGAGGAAUGGGAUGCCACCAUCUUCGUGUAUUACACUGAGUGGACAUUUGCAUUAGUUAUGGUAUA
This 476-nucleotide unclassified non-coding RNA is filed under the name Hevea brasiliensis (rubber tree). Lineage: Eukaryota; Viridiplantae; Streptophyta; Magnoliopsida; Malpighiales; Euphorbiaceae. The record is from RNAcentral.